RNAcentral lists this ribosomal RNA (494 nucleotides) under uncultured bacterium. Its description in RNAcentral is "partial 16S ribosomal RNA". It matches the Rfam family "Bacterial small subunit ribosomal RNA", at positions 28 to 507 of the family's 1533-position model. The record is from RNAcentral.
GACGAACGCUGGCGGCGUGCUUAACACAUGCAAGUCGAACGGAAAGGCCUGCUUUCCCUUGUGGAUUGCGGGUACUCGAGUGGCGAACGGGUGAGUAACACGUGAGUGAUCUGCCCCCAACUUGGGUAUAAGCCUGGGAAACUGGGUCUAAUUCCCGAUAGGACUGCAGGGUGGCGCCUGUGGUGGAAAACGAUUUUCUAGUGGUUGGGGAUGAGCUCGCGGCCUAUCAGCUUGUUGGUGGGGUAAUGGCCUACCAAGGCGGCGACGGGUAGCCGGCCUGAGAGGGUGGACGGCCACAUUGGGACUGAGAUACGGCCCAGACUCCUACGGGAGGCAGCAGUGGGGAAUAUUGCACAAUGGGCGGAAGCCUGAUGCAGCGACGCCGCGUGGGGGAUGACGGCCUUCGGGUUGUAAACUACUUUCGACCGAGAGGAAGCCACCUGGUUGGAAGGGUGGUGACGGUAGUGGUAGAAGAAGCACCGGCUAACUACGUG